RNAcentral lists this ribosomal RNA (32 nucleotides) under Lagenaria siceraria (white-flowered gourd). Its description in RNAcentral is "partial 5.8S ribosomal RNA". The record is from RNAcentral. Lineage: Eukaryota; Viridiplantae; Streptophyta; Magnoliopsida; Cucurbitales; Cucurbitaceae.
AGUCUUUGAACGCAAGUUGCGCCCGGAGCCUU